RNAcentral lists this non-coding RNA (58 nucleotides) under unclassified sequences. Its description in RNAcentral is "DUF3085 RNA". It matches the Rfam family "DUF3085 RNA". The record is from RNAcentral.
UGGUAGCUGGAACCACCAGGCUCUCUAGCCGAACCCAGCCUUCAAAUCAACCCACGGG